UACGAAGGGAGCUAGCGUUGUUCGGAAUCACUGGGCGUAAAGCGCGAGCAGGUGGCUUUAUAAGUUAGAAGUGAAAGCCUGGGGCUUAACCCCAGAACUGCUUUUAAAACUAUAAGGCUAGAGUUCGGGAGAGGAUAGCGGAAUUCCGUGUGUAGAGGUGAAAUUCGUAGAUAUACGGAGGAACACCGAUGGCGAAGGCAGCUAUCUGGAACGCAACUGACACUUAGGCGCGAAAGCGUGGGGAUCAAACAGG
RNAcentral lists this ribosomal RNA (253 nucleotides) under uncultured bacterium. RNAcentral describes it as "partial 16S ribosomal RNA". It matches the Rfam family "Bacterial small subunit ribosomal RNA", at positions 524 to 776 of the family's 1533-position model. The record is from RNAcentral.